AUUGAACGCUGGCGGCAGGCCUAACACAUGCAAGUCGAACGGUAACAGGAAGCAGCUUGCUGCUUCGCUGACGAUUGGCGGACGGGUGAGUAAUUUCUGGGAAGCUGCCUGAUGGAGGGGGAUAACUCCUGGAAACGGUGGCUAAUACCGCUUAAUUUCGCAAGACAAAAGAGGGGGACCUUCGGGCCUCUUGCCAUCGGAUGUGCCCAGAUGGGAUUAGCUUGUUGGUGGGGUAACGGCUCACCAAGGCGACGAUCCCUAGCUGGUCUGAGAGGAUGACCAGCCACACUGGAACUGAGACACGGUCCAGACUCCUACGGGAGGCAGCAGUGGGGAAUAUUGCACAAUGGGCGCAAGCCUGAUGCAGCCAUGCCGCGUGUAUGAAGAAGGCCUUCGGGUUGUAAAGUACUUUCAGCGGGGAGGAAGGGAGUAAAGUUAAUACCUUUGCUCAUUGACGUUACCCGCAGAAGAAGCACCGGCUAACUCCGUG
RNAcentral lists this ribosomal RNA (490 nucleotides) under uncultured bacterium. RNAcentral's name for it is "partial 16S ribosomal RNA". It matches the Rfam family "Bacterial small subunit ribosomal RNA", at positions 30 to 507 of the family's 1533-position model. The record is from RNAcentral.